This 642-nucleotide ribosomal RNA is filed under the name Paenibacillus alvei. Its description in RNAcentral is "bacterial SSU rRNA". It matches the Rfam family "Bacterial small subunit ribosomal RNA", at positions 128 to 757 of the family's 1533-position model. Lineage: Bacteria; Bacillati; Bacillota; Bacilli; Caryophanales; Paenibacillaceae. The record is from RNAcentral.
GCCCAUAAGACUGGGAUAACCCACGGAAACGUGAGCUAAUACCAGAUAGGCAUUUUCCUCGCAUGAGGGAGAUGAGAAAGGCGGAGCAAUCUGCCACUUAUGGAUGGACCUGCGGCGCAUUAGCUAGUUGGUAAGGUAACGGCUUACCAAGGCGACGAUGCGUAGCCGACCUGAGAGGGUGAUCGGCCACACUGGGACUGAGACACGGCCCAGACUCCUACGGGAGGCAGCAGUAGGGAAUCUUCCGCAAUGGACGAAAGUCUGACGGAGCAACGCCGCGUGAGUGAUGAAGGUUUUCGGAUCGUAAAGCUCUGUUGCCAGGGAAGAACGCCUAUGAGAGUAACUGCUCUUAGGGUGACGGUACCUGAGAAGAAAGCCCCGGCUAACUACGUGCCAGCAGCCGCGGUAAUACGUAGGGGGCGAGCGUUGUCCGGAAUUAUUGGGCGUAAAGCGCGCGCAGGCGGCAAUGUAAGUUGGGUGUUUAAACCUAGGGCUCAACCUUGGGUCGCAUCCAAAACUGCAUAGCUUGAGUACAGAAGAGGAAAGUGGAAUUCCACGUGUAGCGGUGAAAUGCGUAGAGAUGUGGAGGAACACCAGUGGCGAAAGCGACUUUCUGGGCUGUAACUGACGCUGAGGCGCGAA